Non-coding RNA from Theobroma cacao (cacao), 386 nucleotides. NCBI's taxonomy places the organism in Eukaryota, Viridiplantae, Streptophyta, Magnoliopsida, Malvales, Malvaceae. The record is from RefSeq and is a predicted model, not a curated record.
CCAUGGGUACAUGAAGGACUCAAAGUAGAAAAGGAAAACGGAAGUGCAAAGAUAAGGUUAGAGUACUGUGGUGGCGUGCCGGGGUAAACAUCGAGCGAUCGGUCAAUGAAAAUAAUCAGAGACACCUCUGAUCAAAUAGCAAUGUAAUAUCCCGCUAUCGUAAGGUUUCCUGAGUCAAAGGUGGUUGGAUCCUAAGAUGAGGUGUUCCUCCCUAUCCAUUGCUUGGUAGGUUUACCAUGACAUUAAAUGUUAGCAACCGUGUCCAGAGUCACUCCGCUAACGGUCAAGUUCUAAUUAAGUAUAUAUGAAUACUUGUUGUGAAAUGAUGAGGUUCAUUUGUCAAACUAUAUAUGUGUAUUAUGGUUAAUGAUGCCAUUUUGAAUGCA